This 216-nucleotide ribosomal RNA is filed under the name Glomeromycotina sp. RNAcentral's name for it is "partial small subunit ribosomal RNA". The stretch from base 44 to 216 matches the Rfam family "Eukaryotic small subunit ribosomal RNA", at positions 690 to 864 of the family's 1831-position model. Lineage: Eukaryota; Fungi; Glomeromycota. The record is from RNAcentral.
GGGUCAGUAGGUUGGUCGUGCCACCGGUACGUACUGGUCUCACUGAUUCCUCCUUCCUGAAGAACCGUAAUGCCAUUAAUCUGGUGUUGCGGGGAAACAGGACUGUUACUUUGAAAAAAUUAGAGUGUUUAAAGCAAGCUAACGCUUGAACACAUUAGCAUGGAAUAAUGAAAUAGGACGAUCGAUCCUAUUUUGUUGGUUUCUAGGAUUGACGUA